RNAcentral lists this ribosomal RNA (253 nucleotides) under uncultured bacterium. RNAcentral describes it as "partial 16S ribosomal RNA". It matches the Rfam family "Bacterial small subunit ribosomal RNA", at positions 524 to 776 of the family's 1533-position model. The record is from RNAcentral.
UACGUAGGGGGCUAGCGUUGUCCGGAUUUAUUGGGCGUAAAGAGCGUGUAGGCGGCCAGGUAGGUCUGCUGUGAAAACUCGAGGCUCAACCUCGAGAUGUCGGCGGAAACCAUCUGGCUAGAGUCCGGAAGAGGAGAGUGGAAUUCCUGGUGUAGCGGUGAAAUGCGCAGAUAUCAGGAAGAACACCCGUGGCGAAGGCGGCUCUCUGGGACGGUACUGACGCUGAGGCACGAAAGCGUGGGGAGCGAACAGG